CUGCAGAAUUCGGCUUGCCUAAAGGGGCCGUAGCCGGUCUUGUAAAUCCUUGGGUAAAUCGACCAGCUCAACUGUUCGAAGUCCGGGGAGACUGCAAGACUUGGGAUCGGGAGAGGUGAGAGGUACUUCUGGGGUAGGGGUAAAAUCCUGUAAUCCUAGAAGGACCACCGGUGGCGAAGGCGUCUCACUAGAACGAAUCCGACGGUGAGGGACGAAGCCCUGGGGCGCAAACGGGAUUAGAUACCCCGGUAGUCCAGGGUGUAAACGCUGCGGGCUUGGUGUUGGGGGUCCUUUGAGGGCGCCCAGUGCCGGAGAGAAGUUGUUAAGCCUGCUGCUUGGGGAGUACGUCCGCAAGGAUGAAACUUAAAGGAAUUGGCGGGGGAGCACCGCAACGGGAGGAGCGUGCGGUUCAAUUGGAUUCAACGCCGGACAACUCACCAGGAGCGACGGUUACAUGAAGGCCAGGCUGAUGACCUUGCCUGAUUUUCCGAGAGGUGGUGCAUGGCCGUCGUCAGUUCGUACCGUAAGGCGUUCUCUUAAGUGAGAUAACGAACGAGACCCUCGCCGCUAAUUGCUAGUGUUCUCUCCGGAGGGCACGCACAUUAACGGGACCGCUGUCGCUAAGACAGAGGAAGGAGAGGACAACGGUAGGUCCGCAUGCCCCUAAAA
Molecule: ribosomal RNA, 669 nt
Filed under: uncultured euryarchaeote
Lineage: Archaea; Methanobacteriati; Methanobacteriota
Description: bacterial SSU rRNA
Rfam family: Archaeal small subunit ribosomal RNA
Source: RNAcentral